This 492-nucleotide ribosomal RNA is filed under the name uncultured bacterium. RNAcentral describes it as "partial 16S ribosomal RNA". It matches the Rfam family "Bacterial small subunit ribosomal RNA", at positions 28 to 507 of the family's 1533-position model. The record is from RNAcentral.
GACGAACGCUGGCGGCGUGCUUAACACAUGCAAGUGGAGCGACGAACCAGGGCUUGCCCUGGGGCAGAGCCGCGAACGGGUGAGUAACACGUGGGUAACGUGCCCCGAUGACUGGGACAACCCGGGGAAACCCGGGCUAAUACCGGAUGUGCCCCCUCACAUCAGUGAGGUGUGUAAAGGAAGCUUCGGCCUCCGCAUCGGGAUCGGCCCGCGGCCCAUUAGCUUGUUGGUGAGGUAACGGCUCACCAAGGCUGCGAUGGGUAGCUGGUCUGAGGGGACGAUCAGCCACACUGGGACUGAGACACGGCCCAGACUCCUACGGGAGGCAGCAGUGGGGAAUCUUGCGCAAUGCGCGAAAGCGUGACGCAGCAACGCCGCGUGGGGGAAGACGGCCUUCGGGUUGUAAACCCCUUUCAGUUGGGACGAAGGUCGGGCGGUUAACAGCCGUUCCGGCUGACGGUACCUUCACAAGAAGCCCCGGCUAACUACGUG